Non-coding RNA from Chrysemys picta bellii (western painted turtle), 2975 nucleotides. NCBI's taxonomy places the organism in Eukaryota, Metazoa, Chordata, Testudines, Emydidae. The record is from RefSeq and is a predicted model, not a curated record.
UUGCCUUCCUCCCAUUUUUUUCUCUCUGUCUCUUUCUCUCUCUCCUCUAGUGUGUUGGCCAACUUUCUCACUCUAUUUCCUCUUCUCUCCUCGUGCCGUCUCCGUUCGUAGGACCACGGGCAUCCGUGCUAGGUGUGCAUCCUAGCCAGGUCUCGGGAGCCACGGAGAAGUAGGAGCGGACGAAAACCAUGCGGGGCAGUGGGCACUAAAGUGGAGCUGUGACUGUUUGUGUUUACUCGGUCUCUGUUCAUCGAGUGGGGCUGAUGUAGAUGGGACUGGAGAGGGAGGCAGGGAUAAGAGGUUUAGAACCAAGGAAAACAAAGUCACCCGUCAGAGUCUACUGCCCUCGUGAUGGAAAGCGAGCGAGAGCGUUGAGACUCUGAGCAUUGUUGAUGCCACGCAAAAGCCAUCCAUCUGGGAGCCAAGGAGAUGCCGCUGUCAGUGAGAUAAGUGUCUUGUUUCAUGAGGGCUCUGCUCACGCCCAACCUGAGUCCAGGUAGGGAAGCCCACUAAGUUAGGGCUGGGUUUGUAUGAAAAGGUUCCUGACUAGGUGUGGUUACAAGGGGGAAAAGGUCCCUACUUUGAGAGGUUGCUCAUUUCUCUCGUCAGGAACAGUGUCUCCUCCGCAGCAGAAGGUUGGAUUCAGGAGGAUGACUCGAGGUGGUGAGCUGCUUGCUUUCCUCCCAUUUUUUUUUCUCUCUCUCUCUCCUCUUGUGUGUUGGCCAACUUUCUCACUCUUUCCUCUCCUGUCCUCGUGCGGUCUCCCUUCGUAGGAGACGGGCAGGCUUGCUCGGUGUGCAUCCCCGCAGGCCAGGUCUUGGGAGCCAUGGAGAAGUAAGAGGGGACGAAAACCAUGCAGGUCUGUGACUGUUGAUGUUAACUUGGUCUCUGUUCAUCGAGUGGGGCUGAUGUAGAUGGGAUUGGAGAGGGAGGCCAGGAGGAGGGCAAGAUUUGAGGCGACAUAUAGUGCUUUAAGUAGUGAUGGCUCAUGCUUGGCUUUUGCAGCUGCACUUCCAGAGGAAUUUUCCAAGAGCCCUAUCCUGAGGAGAAAGUGGCAGAAGUGGACAUGAGCAGACUGGACAUCCUUAUAAGCAGAUAUGAACAGUUCUCAGCUUUCUGACUCCCACAUAAUUGGCUGACCGAGGGAAAAGAAGUCACGCCUCAGAGACUCAAGCCCUCAUGUGAUGGAAAGCAAGCCGGAGUGACGAGACCAUGAGCAUUGUUGAUGUCACGCAAAAGCCGUCCAACUGGGAGGGGAACGGCCGCCACUCUCAGUGAGAUAAGUGUCUGGUUUGGUGAUUGUUGUGCUCAUCCAGGAGGAUGACUCCAGGUGGUGAGUUGCUUGCCUUCCUCCCAUGUCUUUCUAUCUGUCUCUCUCUCUUCUCUAGUACGUUGGCCAACACAAACCCUCUGUCUCUCUAUGUCUGUCCUUGCCUUUCCUUGUUCUGCCUCCCUUCGUAGGACACAGGCAGGUGUGCUAGGUGUGCAUCCCCAGAGGCCAGGUCUCGGGAGCCAUGGAGAAGUUGGAGUGGACGAAAAGCAUGCGGGGCAGUGGGCGCUAAAGUGGAGCUGUGACUGUCUGUGUUUACUCAGUCUCUGUUCAUCCAGUGGGGCUGAUGUAGAUGGGACUGGAGAGGGAGGCAGGGAUGAGGGCAAGAUUCAACGCACCAAUCGAGCUCUGUGUAGUGAUAGUUUUUGCUUGGCUUUAUUAGUUUGUGGAGGAAUCGUCCAGGAGCCCUAGCCGGACAAGAAUAUGGCAGAAGUGGACCUGAGCAGCCUGGACAUCCUUCUAAGGAGACGUGAAUAGUCCUCAUGUUUCUGCCUUCUGCAUCGCUGGCUGUGAGUAAGAGGUCAGUGCUUUGAAUUCCUCAUCUGUGCUCGCUGUAGUUUUCUUCACAGGCCGUGUGCUUCCUAGUUAGUUACGAGGCUCUGGGAUUAAGGCUGGGGAAGGGACAAGAGUUUCCUGAGGAAAGUGAGUUACAAUGGGUGCCUUCUAGUUGCAGUUGUAAUGUAGUAAUAGGAGAUGGGUUGAGGGCGGAGCCGUGGGAUAUGGGAGAAGUGAAAUGAAGAGACUAUGCGACAUUGCAGACAGAGAUGCUAAUUUUUUUGUUUUUCCCCCCUCUGCCUGGUUCCUUCCUCAUGUGAUGGAAAGCGAGCCAGAGCGUCGAGACUCUGAGCAUUGUUGAUGCCAUGCAAAAGCCGUCCAUCUGGGAGCCUAGCAGACACUGCUGAUAGUGAGAAGUGUCUGGUUUGGUGAGGGCUCUGCUCAGACUCCACCUGAGUCCAGGUUGGGAAGCCUAGUACAGUAGGGCGGGGUUUGUAUGAAUGGUUCCUGACUAACUGUGGUUACGAGGGAGAAAAGGUCCCUAUUUUCAGAGGUUGCUCAUUUCUCUGGUCAGGAACUGUGUCUCCUCUGCAGCUCAAGGUUACCUCCAGGAGAAUAACGCCAGGUGCUUCCUUUCCUCCCAUGUUUUUCUCUCUCUCUCUCUCUUCUCUAGUAUGUUGGCCAACACACUCUCUCUCCUCUCCUCUCCUCUCCUCUCCUCAUGCCCGUUUGUAGAACACUGGUUGGUGUACAGCCCAGGUCUCGGGAUCCAUGGAGAAGUAGGAGCGGAAGAAAAUCAUGCAGGGCAGUGGGCGCUAAAGUCGAGGACUGCCCUGUCACCAUUUGCUACACUCACAAUUUCCCAUUCCUGGGUCUAUGGGAAAGGAGUUGUGACAAAUGGGUUGGAUUUUGUCAGAGUUUCAGCCAGUGUUCCCUUCAAUUUUUCCCACUCAUGUGUGGAAGGAAUUUUGUUAUGUGCACCAAUAUGGAGGUGAUGUGUCACACAUUACCUCCACAUUGGUACACGUAACAAAAUUCAUGUGGCGGGUGUGGGGCCGAGGCGUUCGGAGUGUGGGACAGGGCUCAGGGCUGCGGCAGAGCGUUGAGGUGCGGGGGGGUGAGGGCUCCAUCUGGGGGUGUGGUCUCAGAG